RNAcentral lists this long non-coding RNA (731 nucleotides) under Junco hyemalis (dark-eyed junco). RNAcentral's name for it is "lncRNA (ENSJHYG00000006319.1)". Lineage: Eukaryota; Metazoa; Chordata; Aves; Passeriformes; Passerellidae. The record is from RNAcentral.
GGAGAGGAUGAGAGGAUGGUAUUGGUUGGGAAGAGAGCAGGCAUCGUGCUGAAAAGGAAGAGGAAGGGGAGGGAAGCAUUGUCUCAGCAGGAGAAUGUUAUUCUCCAGCCCUUACCGCUCCACAGAUUCCAGUGACAGAUGGAUCUCUCUCAUGCACACUUGCUCUUUCCUUCUCUGUAUUUUUGUUUUCGACAUGUUUGAUCCUAAGCUCUGAAGCUUCUCAGAGAGAACCCAGGAAAGAAGGAAGAGAAGGAGUAGAAACCAAGGGAGCGUGAGCGACACGGGAGGCAGCCCUGCCUUGUUCUUCCAAAUCACACUGUGGAGGGGCGGGGGAAGACUAGAGGGGGAGGACUUGGGUUUGUUUUGGGGUGGGUUUGGUGUGGGUGGGGGGUGGGUGGGAGGGGAGAAAAGGGGAAAAAGUGUGUGAGUCGCUCAUGAGCAUCAAAGAAGAUUCAUUAUCCUCGGCCUGAAUUUUUGUUUAGAAAAGAAGCACAAGGUAGUUCCCUUCCGGACCAAACAUCCAUGGUCAUAGCUUUGGGUGUUCUGGAAGAAUAUUGCAUGUGUUCCCCUUCCUCUAUGCUCCUGGAUUGACCCAGAGGGCAAGAAGAAAUAAUGGUGAUGACAUCUCAUAGGACUGGGGUGCUCAUUCCCAUCCAUUGUUAAACCCCCGUUUUUGCCCCCUACUUUCUUUUUGCCGUUGUUCUGAGAUUUGGCGUUGGUUUUUGUUGGGG